ACGCACGCUGGCGGCGUGCUUCACCCCUGCAAGUCGAACGGAAAGGCCCUGCUUGCAGGGUGCUCGAGUGGCGAACGGGUGAGUAACACGUGGGUGAUCUGCCCCUUACUUUGGGAUAAGCCUGGGAAACUGGGUCUAAUACUGGAUAGGACCAUGCUGUAGGUGGUGUGGUGGAAAGAUUAGUUUCGGUAAGGGAUGAGCUCGCGGCCUAUCAGCUUGUUGGUGGGGUAAUGGCCUACCAAGGCGUCGACGGGUAGCCGGCCUGAGAGGGUGGACGGCCACAUUGGGACUGAGAUACGGCCCAGACUCCUACGGGAGGCAGCAGUGGGGAAUAUUGCACAAUGGGCGCAAGCCUGAUGCAGCGACGCCGCGUGGGGGAUGACGGCCUUCGGGUUGUAAACUCCUUUCAGCCAUGACGAAGCCCUUGUGGUGACGGUAGUGGUAGAAGAAGCACCGGCUAACUACGUG
Molecule: ribosomal RNA, 468 nt
Filed under: uncultured bacterium
Lineage: Bacteria
Description: partial 16S ribosomal RNA
Rfam family: Bacterial small subunit ribosomal RNA
Source: RNAcentral